RNAcentral lists this ribosomal RNA (591 nucleotides) under Anaplasma phagocytophilum. RNAcentral's name for it is "bacterial SSU rRNA". It matches the Rfam family "Bacterial small subunit ribosomal RNA", at positions 861 to 1449 of the family's 1533-position model. The record is from RNAcentral. Lineage: Bacteria; Pseudomonadati; Pseudomonadota; Alphaproteobacteria; Rickettsiales; Anaplasmataceae.
AUAGCACUCCGCCUGGGGACUACGGUCGCAAGACUAAAACUCAAAGGAAUUGACGGGGACCCGCACAAGCGGUGGAGCAUGUGGUUUAAUUCGAUGCAACGCGAAAAACCUUACCACUCCUUGACAUGGAGAUUAGAUCCUUCUUAACGGAAGGGCGCAGUUCGGCUGGAUCUCGCACAGGUGCUGCAUGGCUGUCGUCAGCUCGUGUCGUGAGAUGUUGGGUUAAGUCCCGCAACGAGCGUAACCCUCAUCCUUAGUUGCCAGCGGGUAAUGCCGGGCACUUUAAGGAAACUGCCGGUGGUAAACUGGAGGAAGGUGGGGAUGAUGUCAAGUCAGCACGGCCCUUAUGGGGUGGGCUACACACGUGCUACAAUGGUGACUACAAUAGGUUGCAAUGUCGCAAGGCUGAGCUAAUCCGUAAAAGUCAUCUCAGUUCGGAUUGUCCUCUGCAACUCGAGGGCAUGAAGUCGGAAUCGCUAGUAAUCGUGGAUCAGCAUGCCACGGUGAAUACGUUCUCGGGUCUUGUACACACUGCCCGUCACGCCAUGGGAAUUGGCUUAACUCGAAGCUGGUGCGCUAACCGAAGAAAAA